GUUGGGUAUGGGGACAUGAAACCGAUAACAGUUGGGGGUAAAAUAGUUGGGUCUCUUUGCGCCAUUGCUGGGGUCUUGACCAUCGCCCUCCCCGUGCCCGUCAUCGUGUCCAAC
Regulatory RNA element from Scleropages formosus (Asian bonytongue), 114 nucleotides. It matches the Rfam family "Potassium channel RNA editing signal". Rfam says of the family: This family represents a group of sequences related to the human potassium channel Kv1.1 hairpin element which directs the efficient modification of an adenosine to inosine by an adenosine deaminase acting on RNA (ADAR). The ADAR modification causes an isoleucine/valine recoding event which lies in the ion-conducting pore of the potassium channel. It is thought that this editing event targets the process of fast inactivation and allows a more rapid recovery from inactivation at negative potentials. NCBI's taxonomy places the organism in Eukaryota, Metazoa, Chordata, Actinopteri, Osteoglossiformes, Osteoglossidae. The record is from Rfam.